RNAcentral lists this unclassified non-coding RNA (933 nucleotides) under Leishmania donovani. RNAcentral's name for it is "gene:LdHU3.34.6480(CDS-product:NADH-ubiquinone_ox idoreductase_complex_I_subunit_putative)". Lineage: Eukaryota; Euglenozoa; Kinetoplastea; Trypanosomatida; Trypanosomatidae. The record is from RNAcentral.
ACACUCAGGAGCAGCUUCUUCUCCGGCUAGUAAAUCUUUUUCCUUGAACCGACCCCCAGCGUCUCCCCCUACUGCAUUGUCGUGUAGCAUAGCAUAGCAUCGCAUAGCAUCAAGUGUUUGUGGGCGUGUGCGGAUCACCAUCAUCGCCAUGACGCGGUGGAACCAGAGGAUGGCCAAGAUGGCCUUCCGGCGCUCCAAAUUCCGUCGCUUAGCCUGGGGGGACGGUGACCCGUACCCCUACACCCCGCGCGCCACCUUCCGCUAUCAGUGGGACGACUGGCCAAUGUGGGAGAAGAUGUGGCACCUCGCUGUCGGUGUGCUGGGCAUCGAGUUCGCUGUGUGGGCCUACUACUCGAAGUUGAACAGCCGCAUGGACUGGGCACGCGAGGAGGCGCUGCGCCGCAUGCGUCUGCGCCGUGAGGCCCAAGAGCUGAUGAUCCUCGAGGGCGAGACCUUCUCGAGCGACAUCCAGCCGGACCGCCGCUGACGCCGCCCACCCCGCGCGCGUCUCGGGGGAGAGGAGGAUUGCUGCCACUGACCCUCUCCGAAGCGCGGCGGCAUCUGUGCGCCGCUUUUUUCCCCGGAAAACUGCAGUUCUGUUAGACUCCGCGCCGCAGUCGCGGCCCGCUUCCCUAUUGUGUCCAUUUCUACCGGUGAGGCCGAAGUGAUUCCAGGGCGCACAUCAUCUUCAAGCAUACGUCAUCAUACAUUCCUGGCUUCUGUUAACGCGCCUCUAGUACUAGCGACAAUGCUGCUCAAAAUCACCGCCGAACUCCUCGACGUCAGUGUUCUGCCAACCUCGAAUUACGCGUCUCUGCCAGAUUUCCAUCGUCUCGCCUGCUCUGCCUUACCACCAACACCUCCCUAGCGCCUGCAAACACACCUCCUUGACUUUUUCGACCUAGCACAAGCGCCUCUUCGCGGCGAACGCAG